AAAGAAAUUGCAGUUGGGGGCUGGGGAUUUAGCUCAGCGGCAAAAAGCGCCUGCCUGGCAAGCGCAAGGUCGUGAGUUCGGUUCCCGGUACCGGAGAAAAACCAAAAAAAAAACCAAAAAAAAAAAAAGAAAAGAAAAUUUAAAGACACAUUUUGAAAAUUUCUUUUUUUUUUUUGUCUUUUUGAGACAGGGUCUCGCUAUGCAGUUCAGGCUGACCUUCAGCUCACUUUGUAGCCCAGGCUGGCCUCGAACUUGCAAGGAUCCUCCUGCCUCAGCCUCCCGAGUGCUGGGUUUAUAGGCGUGCGCCACUAUGCCCAUCCAUUUUGAAAUUUUUUGCCCACUUUAAAAGAUUAUUUGUCCUUUUCUUGCUUCCAUGCCCUGAUUUACUGGUCACCCGUGUGAGAAUUUUGCCCUGGAGAGCUCCUCCCACCUGCGCUGUGAAGCAGGGAUCAAAGCAGCCCUGCUGUCUCUCCUGGGGGAUCUGAGAAUCAGCUUACCAGCUGGGCCCAUGGCGGGGACAGGAGAGACGCCGAAGGCUGAGUCCACAGUGGGAAGUGACAGUGCAGCCACUGGGCCCUGGGGAUGUGGCUCUCAUCGGGGCACUGUGAGACGGGCACCUCUGCGGGUCUGCCCAGUUCAGGCUGGUGACUGUGGAGCAAGGGAUUCUGGAGUUCAGAGCAGGGAGCGACUAAACCCUGCUCCUCAGGGGACUGUUCUCCUGCUCCCACUGCAGAAACACACAACCCAGUCGCCUCUUGUUCUACACAUGCUCCAACAGCUCAGGCCGUGGAAUGUGCUAUGUUAGACACAGAAACAAAUCAGAGAUUGGAUGCACUACAGGCGCGUAGCCCGCUUGUCCCCUCCCUUUAGACCUGUGUGCCAGGCCCAGCGCUCCUGCUCCCUCCCGCCCUGGACGCUCAGAGACCCGCUGCUGAGGCAGUGCCUUGCGAACACGGACCUGCGAAGCCUCAGGUUCAGGAAGCAGUUUAGUCAGUCGUAUAACUAAAACAGCUGCGAUGUGCUUGCUCUUCUGUGGCAAGUGCGUGUGAGUUAUUUUUUCCAGCCAAGUCACCCAGACUCAAUGUGGCCCCUAAUUUUCCAAAGGUUUCCAAAUUUCAGUUUUAGUAAUAAAAAUGGACUACGGUUCUCAGCUCCAUUAAUGCAGCUUUGCCCGUCUUUUUUAUAUACAUUUUUCAUCCCAUGCACAGUCUUCCUGGGCAGGUAUUUUCAUUCCUUUCCUGCAGGUACCGACAUUGAAGCUCACAUGUGUUUUUAGAUUUGUGCUAGGACAGGGCCGUGAGAGUGGGGCGUCAGGAUCUCAGGGAAGAACUGCCUGGCUGUGCAGCACAGACACACACUCACACACACACACACCCCUUCCUACUACACAGCUCACAUUGCUUUUAGGGCACAGUUUCAUUUCUUCAGGAAAAUAAAGAGGUUUUUACCUGCCAUGACUGGAUUCUCUCGAAGCCGGAGGAGAUAGAGCCCCAGCUUCACGCCUGCACCUUCCCCCAGGUCACCGUGAUGUGGCUGCCCCACUGCGUGCAGGGUUCCU
Molecule: long non-coding RNA, 1558 nt
Filed under: Chinchilla lanigera (long-tailed chinchilla)
Lineage: Eukaryota; Metazoa; Chordata; Mammalia; Rodentia; Chinchillidae
Description: lncRNA (ENSCLAG00000029035.1)
Source: RNAcentral